This is a long non-coding RNA of Mobula hypostoma (lesser devil ray), 770 nucleotides long. RefSeq lists it as uncharacterized. Lineage: Eukaryota; Metazoa; Chordata; Chondrichthyes; Myliobatiformes; Myliobatidae. The record is from RefSeq and is a predicted model, not a curated record. The transcript has 4 exons.
CUUAUCUCCUAACUUGACUCUUCAAAUCCUGCGUCGCAUCUAGGAUUCCAAAUAGAGUAUCACAACAGAUAUUUGGUAUUUGGUCCCGUGAGUUGAAACUCCAGGCACUUACCGGGAUCAUCGAGUACGUCAUCAUCACGAAGGAGUCUUCGGGCUCUUCCCGAACGAGGGGCUCGUGAUGGCUUCGCCUGUUCCGGUUUUUCUGCUCAACCAGGCUGAGUUGCUAGCCCGAUGUUCAAUCCAGCACGGAUGGAAAGCGUGGAAGGAGCCAGCCAGAUUCGAACCCUGGACUACUCACCUUGAAAUCCGGGGCGGAUGCCAUUACACUAUCGGCCAACUAUGAGAUGUGGAGUAUACUGCCCGGCCUGCUGAGUUCCUCUGGCAUUUUGUGUGUUGGUUAUGUAAAUGCAUGAAGUAUUAUAACAGGAUGGAUGAAAUCACUGCACAAAUGCUGUAGAGAGAGAGGUAAAUGGAUGUGAUCCAAGAGUCACUAUACGGACAAGGCGGUGAUGCCUGGAAAAGAAAUCUUUCAGAGUACAUAACAUUGUGGAGGCGUCAGCAGAAUUAAUAAGGAUAUCAAUGGGUCCGUGUGAGAACUGAUCUUCGCUUAGAAAAUCGAUGUGCAAUCUGUUUGAGUAGAGAUAGGAAAUUUAAAAAAAAAAUCAGGCUGAUGAAGAUCAACAGCACCUCUUCUUCCUCAGGAGGCUAAAGAAAUGUUGCAUGUCCCCUUUGAUACUCACCAUGGAAAGACGCAGCAUGAUUUGGUACAG